GGGCCCGCACAAGCAGUGGAGUAUGUGGUUUAAUUCGACGCAACGCGAAGAACCUUACCAGGUCUUGACAUCGAACGAAAUCCCAAGAGAUUGGGACCUCCUUUCGGGGACGUGAAGACAGGUGGUGCAUGGUUGUCGUCAGCUCGUGUCGUGAGAUGUUGGGUUAAGUCCCGCAACGAGCGCAACCCUUAUCAUUAGUUGCUACGAAAGAGCACUCUAAUGAGACUGCCGUUGACAAAACGGAGGAAGGUGGGGAUGACGUCAAAUCAUCAUGCCCUUUAUGACCUGGGCAACACACGUACUACAAUGGCGUUUAACAAUGAGGAGCGAACCGGCGACGGGGAGCAAAUCUCCAAAAAGCGCCUCAGUUCGGAUCGCAGGCUGCAACUCGCCUGCGUGAAGUUGGAAUUGCUAGUAAUCGCGAAAUCAGCAUGUCG
Molecule: ribosomal RNA, 437 nt
Filed under: uncultured Bacillota bacterium
Lineage: Bacteria; Bacillati; Bacillota
Description: bacterial SSU rRNA
Rfam family: Bacterial small subunit ribosomal RNA
Source: RNAcentral